Long non-coding RNA from Notothenia coriiceps (black rockcod), 101 nucleotides. RefSeq lists it as uncharacterized. NCBI's taxonomy places the organism in Eukaryota, Metazoa, Chordata, Actinopteri, Perciformes, Nototheniidae. The record is from RefSeq and is a predicted model, not a curated record. The transcript has 3 exons.
ACCAUAUCUUGGUCAAAGUCAGACUCUGCAGUUAUGACGAUUCUCUUCUCCACCCGAGUCUCUGAAGAUCCACUUUUCACCACCUUUGAGAUGUGUGUGGA